GAUGAAGAACGCAGCGAAAUGCGAUAAGUAGUGUGAAUUGCAGAAUUCAGUGAAUCAUCGAAUCUUAGAACGCACAUUGCGCCUGCCAGCACUCUGGCAGGCAUGCCUGUUCGAGCGUCAUUUCAACCAUCAAGCCCUAGGCUUGCGUUGGAGCCCUGCGGCUGCCGCAGGCCCCUAAAAGCAGUGGCGGGCUCGCUAUCACACCGAGUGCAGUAGAUUACUCUUCGCUCAGGGCGUGUGGCGGGUUCCAGCCGUGAAACCCCCUACUUCUCAAGGUUGACCUCGGAUCAGGUAGGAAUACCCGCUGAACUUAAGCAUAUCAAUAAGCGGAGGA
Molecule: unclassified non-coding RNA, 334 nt
Filed under: soil metagenome
Description: partial contains 5.8S ribosomal RNA, internal transcribed spacer 2, and large subunit ribosomal RNA
Rfam family: 5.8S ribosomal RNA (bases 1-120)
Source: RNAcentral